CUCCAAGAACAACUCAAACCAAAUCUCUCUUCAUUCUCCAUCUUAAUACUGUAAAUCACACCUUAGAGGGAGAAAUAGCUGUGUUUCCAAGUUUCUUGAAGGUCGUUCAUCGGUUUCGCCUUUUCGGUUUCUAUAAUCAUUUCAAGCUCUCUUAGUUGCUGGAAAAUUUUUUCAUUUUAUUCUUUACGGUAGAGAGGAAAACGCACGAACGCCACCCAAAACGAAAAUUGGGGCUGCCUUCCUGGAAAAUUCAAGUUCUUCACCGUGAAGACCGCACAAGCUUUGUCUUCUUCCAAAGUUCGGAGUUUUUUGUCCCCACACUCAAACCCCACUUCGAAAACGUCGUAAGAGUUUCUCAUUCGAUGUGCUUUAAUUUUGUUGCAUUUGAGCUAUAAAUUCAAGUCUAUGGAUACCCACCUCAAGAAAAGUCUAUUGUUGUUUUGGAAAGUACUUUUAUUUUACUAUCCACGAAGCUUAUACAAGGUUAGUAUUCUUUUUGAGUCUUUUUUUUUAUACGUUU
Long non-coding RNA from Momordica charantia (bitter melon), 520 nucleotides. RefSeq lists it as uncharacterized. The record is from RefSeq and is a predicted model, not a curated record. NCBI's taxonomy places the organism in Eukaryota, Viridiplantae, Streptophyta, Magnoliopsida, Cucurbitales, Cucurbitaceae.